UACGUAGGGGGCGAGCGUUGUCCGGAUUUAUUGGGCGUAAAGAGCUCGUAGGCGGUUUGUCGCGUCGAAUGUGAAAACCCGGGGCUCAACCCCGGGCCUGCAUUCGAUACGGGCAGACUAGAGUUCGGUAGGGGAGUCUGGAAUUCCUGGUGUAGCGGUGAAAUGCGCAGAUAUCAGGAGGAACACCGGUGGCGAAGGCGGGACUCUGGGCCGAUACUGACGCUGAGGAGCGAAAGCGUGGGGAGCAAACGGG
Molecule: ribosomal RNA, 253 nt
Filed under: uncultured bacterium
Lineage: Bacteria
Description: partial 16S ribosomal RNA
Rfam family: Bacterial small subunit ribosomal RNA
Source: RNAcentral